UCCUGUAAACUCAGUCGCACUCACAGAAUCUGAGAAUCUUAGAGCAUCUUCCCACCUAAUUUAAAGGAGUUGUCUGCUACAUGGCUGUGAGAAGAGAAGUGAACACACUUUUGUUCAUCUCGGCAGGAUUCCAGAUUACUUCAUGACUGACAGAGUAACACAGAACGGGUGGGCAGUUAAAAGAAAAAUGUGAGAUCACUAACAAAUCCAUCUUGUACACAAGCUGACAACUUCACUUCGAAGAUGCAUGGGCCACAAACAGCUGGCUCCAUAUUCUUUACUUAAUUUGUAUUCCACCCUCGAAAUUUGCCUUGAGUCAAUGUCUUUUCCAGGCAAAGUAAGAACUCAAACCAGGUGUGCUGCAUUGUCAGAGGUGCUGACUUUUGGAUGGAGGUGCUGUUGUACUGUAAUCCAGAGAUCUAGGUAAGGUUCUGGGGACCAAGAUGGUGAAAUUUGAUUUCAAUAAAAUCUGGAAUGAAAAGUCUAACAACGACCAUGGAACUGUUGCCAUGCUGCCAUCCUUGCUUGGUCUCGCCUACGCAGUGAUGUGGAUGGCUUGUGACUAUCCUCUGUA
Stegostoma tigrinum is the source of this 574-nucleotide long non-coding RNA. RefSeq lists it as uncharacterized. NCBI's taxonomy places the organism in Eukaryota, Metazoa, Chordata, Chondrichthyes, Orectolobiformes, Stegostomatidae. The transcript is spliced from 4 exons. The record is from RefSeq and is a predicted model, not a curated record.